This 485-nucleotide long non-coding RNA is filed under the name Dermacentor andersoni. RNAcentral describes it as "uncharacterized LOC126538477". The record is from RNAcentral. Lineage: Eukaryota; Metazoa; Arthropoda; Arachnida; Ixodida; Ixodidae.
ACGUUGCAUGUUACCAGAACUGAAAGAUAAAUCAUAAUAUGCUGUUAUUUUUUUUUCAUAAACUGUACGAUGAGCUUUUCAUGCAUAAAAGGUGAUUGCAAGCGAAAAUGCAGCAAGACAUCAACUUCACACCAUGCCACAUACUCAUACUUUAUUACCUAAUAAAUUAGAAAAGAUGCAGAAAGUGUAAUUAACAAAAGUGACAAAUAGCAGCAAAGGUGAUCAGGGAUAAAUCUCGAAGAUGAUUGCCGCCGCUGCCAGAGUAGGCCAGCCUUCGUAGGAGAGCACUGGCUGCCCACAAAAGCUUGCUGUCACAGGCCACACGUGACGGUUCUUGUAGACAUAGGCACUCAAUACCUGCACAGAAUAGGAAAAAAAGGGCAAGGGAGGAAAUGGGAAUGUCGAAAUUGGAACUUCAAUUAGCAAUAUGUGCUAAGAAGUUUGGCUCACAUUAAAAAUAAAUUUAAGCACUCCUUUUUCUUAAA